Armillaria borealis is the source of this 123-nucleotide non-coding RNA. The record is from the annotation of a GenBank genome assembly. NCBI's taxonomy places the organism in Eukaryota, Fungi, Basidiomycota, Agaricomycetes, Agaricales, Physalacriaceae.
GGUGAGAUGGCCGAGCGGUUAAGGCGCCAGACUAAGGUUAUGCUUACGUAAUCAUGGAUCAAAUCACAUGGUGAUUACAUCAUCUGGUCCGAAAGGGCGUGGGUUCGAAUCCCACUCUCAUCA